UACGUAGGGGGCAAGCGUUGUUCGGAUUUACUGGGCGUAAAGGGCGCGUAGGCGGCCUCCGCAAGUCAAUUGUGAAAUCUCCGAGCUUAACUCGGAAAGGUCAACUGAUACUGCGGGGCUAGAGUGCGGAAGGGGCAACUGGAAUUCUUGGUGUAGCGGUGAAAUGCGUAGAUAUCAAGAGGAACACCUGCGGCGAAGGCGGGUUGCUGGGCUGACACUGACGCUGAGGCGCGAAAGCUAGGGGAGCGAACGGG
RNAcentral lists this ribosomal RNA (254 nucleotides) under uncultured bacterium. RNAcentral describes it as "partial 16S ribosomal RNA". It matches the Rfam family "Bacterial small subunit ribosomal RNA", at positions 524 to 776 of the family's 1533-position model. The record is from RNAcentral.